This 253-nucleotide ribosomal RNA is filed under the name uncultured bacterium. RNAcentral's name for it is "partial 16S ribosomal RNA". It matches the Rfam family "Bacterial small subunit ribosomal RNA", at positions 524 to 776 of the family's 1533-position model. The record is from RNAcentral.
UACGUAGGGUGCAAGCGUUAAUCGGAAUUACUGGGCGUAAAGCGUGCGCAGGCGGUUUUUUAAGUCAGAUGUGAAAUCCCCGGGCUUAACCUGGGAACUGCGUUUGAAACUACAAGGCUAGAGUGUGACAGAGGGGGGUGGAAUUCCACGUGUAGCAGUGAAAUGCGUAGAGAUGUGGAGGAACACCGAUGGCGAAGGCAGCCCCCUGGGUUAACACUGACGCUCAGGCACGAAAGCGUGGGGAGCAAACAGG